RNAcentral lists this unclassified non-coding RNA (408 nucleotides) under uncultured Funneliformis. RNAcentral's name for it is "sequence contains 28S rRNA gene". Lineage: Eukaryota; Fungi; Glomeromycota; Glomeromycetes; Glomerales; Glomeraceae. The record is from RNAcentral.
AGUUAAACAGUACGUGAAAUUGUUGAAAGGGAAACGAUUGAAGUCAGUCAUACCAACGGGAAAUCAACCUUUUGAGCUUGGUCUCGUGGGUUUUGAAGAGUUUCAAAGCCUUCGGAUUCGCGGGAUUGGGAUCUCUUGUUGUACUUUUUCGUUCGGUUAGUCAACAUCGGUUUUGAAUGUCAUAAAAUGACUGGAGGAAUGUAGCUUCGAUCUCGUAUUGAAGUGUUAUAGCCUUUGGUAGAUGUGAUGUUUGAGACCGAGGAUUGCAACGGAUACCCUUCAGGGCUAUUCGUCUGAUCUCUGAUACGUUGCCUUGAUGUUGAAAGCUUGCUUAUGAUGUUAGGGUAUUACGGUCAAAAGGUUAGAACGAAUUACAUUCGUUAAGGAUGUUGACGUAAUGACUUUAAA